Molecule: small nuclear RNA, 201 nt
Filed under: Crocodylus porosus (Australian saltwater crocodile)
Lineage: Eukaryota; Metazoa; Chordata; Crocodylia; Crocodylidae
Description: U2 spliceosomal RNA (ENSCPRG00005014767.1)
Rfam family: U2 spliceosomal RNA
About the family: U2 is a small nuclear RNA (snRNA) component of the spliceosome (involved in pre-mRNA splicing).
Source: Rfam by way of RNAcentral
ACAGCAUCAGGGGAAGCACCGUGACCACCAUGAUCAAUCAGGUGGUUUUCCCAGGGCAGGUGAUUGUCCCUGAUAUGUCCUCCAUAGGAGGUCUAUAUUGAGCAGAUUCUUUUUGGUGUUGGGUGGUGGAACCGGAGCUUGCUCCAUCCACUCCAUGCAUUGACCUGGUCUUGCAGUACUUCCAGGACCGGUGCAAAAAAA